RNAcentral lists this ribosomal RNA (253 nucleotides) under uncultured bacterium. Its description in RNAcentral is "partial 16S ribosomal RNA". It matches the Rfam family "Bacterial small subunit ribosomal RNA", at positions 524 to 776 of the family's 1533-position model. The record is from RNAcentral.
UACGUAGGGGGCUAGCGUUGUCCGGAAUCAUUGGGCGUAAAGCGCGCGUAGGCGGCCCGGUAAGUCCGCUCUGAAAGUCCAGGGCUCAACCCUGGAAAGCGGGUGGAUACUGCCGGGCUAGAAUCCGGAAGAGGCGAGUGGAAUUCCUGGUGUAGCGGUGGAAUGCGUAGAUAUCGUGAGGAACACCAGAGGCGAAGGCGGUUUCCUGGACAGUUACUGACGCUCAGGCACGAAAGCAUGGGGAGCAAAAGGG